AGGGUUUGAUCAUGGCUCAGAUUGAACGCUGGCGGCAGGCCUAACACAUGCAAGUCGAACGGUAACAGGAAGUGCUUGCACUUCGCUGACGAGUGGCGGACGGGUGAGUAAUGCUUGGGAACUUGCCUUUGCGAGGGGGAUAACAGUUGGAAACGACUGCUAAUACCGCAUAACGUCUACGGACCAAACGGGGCUUAGGCUCCGGCGCAAAGAGAGGCCCAAGUGAGAUUAGCUAGUUGGUAAGGUAAAGGCUUACCAAGGCAACGAUCUCUAGCUGUUCUGAGAGGAAGAUCAGCCACACUGGAACUGAGACACGGUCCAGACUCCUACGGGAGGCAGCAGUGGGGAAUAUUGCACAAUGGGGGAAACCCUGAUGCAGCCAUGCCGCGUGUGUGAAGAAGGCCUUCGGGUUGUAAAGCACUUUCAGUUGUGAGGAAAAGUUAGUAGUUAAUACCUGCUAGCCGUGACGUUAACAACAGAAGAAG
Molecule: ribosomal RNA, 485 nt
Filed under: uncultured bacterium
Lineage: Bacteria
Description: bacterial SSU rRNA
Rfam family: Bacterial small subunit ribosomal RNA
Source: RNAcentral